CUAAGAGAUGGACUCUUCAGUGCAUUAAUAGGACCGGCUCGCCGAAAUAAUGGGUCCAUGGAACGCUACAGUUUCUUCAAAUAAACUUUACCAAUGGAUCUUCACACCUGAAUAGUACAUCAACCAAAUAUUAGCUCAUGUUAUCUAUCAUUUUCUCUGCUUUCUAUUGAACUGACUAUCAUAGGUUCUCAUAUAAGAGGACAAUCUAACUGAUGAGUGAUGCCAAAAAGGCCAGCCUAAGCUAAACCACCAAGCAAAGCCAAGUUCGCUAAACGACAUGCGCAGAUAAAAGUUUUGGCAAAAUAAAAGUUUCAGGCCUAAAUAUGCUUCUCUCAAUCUUUGAUAUUUCUGAAAAUCUGCAUUUUACACUGAAUAAAUGUUACAGUACAUGGCAAUAGUGCGUCCAAAGGCAGGAAAACAUAUCAAAGGCAGUCAAACAGAUCAAAUCCACCAUCAUCUACUCAUACAACAAAGCAUAACCACAUAGACCACUCCUAUGGACCUACUAAACCGACUAUUACAACCAAAAUGGUGAAUAUAAGAAAUAGACAGGUAGGACAGAUGCACACCAAAGGUAAGAAAGUACUAAAGUACUAAAGUGGCUAUUACAACCAACACGUGUGAGUAUUAAGAAAUAAACAGGCAGGACAUGUACACACCAAAGAUAAGAAAGCAGUAAAGUACAUGUCCCAGGUCGACGACGAACAUCCUAGAAAGAAGCAACCACACCAGAUCCUAGCCCUUGGAAGCAGAAGUCCAGUACCAUGCGGCAAUAAGAGACCAAGAACCAAAAAACAAUGGCGACACCGGACUGAGAAACGAAAGAUAAGCACGAGCGAAUCAGGAGAGAACACACAUCUUAAUGAAGAAAACGCAAGCGGAAAAAAGGGACCGCACCUAAGGAACGACGGCAGGGCCAGCAGAGAGAAGACGAUGUCCGAUCCCAAGACAUCAUCCACAUCACAUCUGGAGGAGGAAAAAUAUGGAUAAAUACUACGUACAUAGCCCCUUCAACAUAAAAGACUAUAAAGAUAAAGGACAUUUUUAGCUCUUUCUCCUUUUAGUUUAAACCUAGUAGAAACAACAAAAAAGGAAAAUAGGUGAGGUUGCAUUUGAAAACUACUUUAAUAAAAUGUCAAUAAAAAUCUUCAAAGCAUUUUUUUGCAUGUGAAUUGGCUGUUACAAAUGACAAAUAGAUUACAGCCAAAAAAGUAAGUUUAGCAAAUAAAUUACAGCCAAGAAAGUAAGCAUUACGCAGCUAGUUUGGCAAAUAAAUUACAGCCAAGAAAGUAAGCAAAUUUUUAAUUACAUCCAACAAUUUUGGUAUUCAAAAAGGAGAUCGAUGUACACAUCAGACUGGAAGUCACCAUAUGCAACACCUCCCUAUCACUAUGUUGCAGAUGUAAUCAUAAAGGUCUCCAGGUCGCAAUGCACAUGACAAAGUAAAAUACCCAGAAAAGGAAAUAUCAUCAGAGGUAAAGAUUAUGCUGAGAAUCGACCUUCAAAAUCUGAGAGAGAAAACAUGUGUGAAUGCUAGUUCCAAGUGCCUUCAUAUUCUUUAGGCCACUUCCAAUCCAGAAAAUAAUAGGGGGUCAAGAGAGAGGGAGGGGGAGAGAAACCUGUAACACGGUCGGGUUGAGUCGAAGAAGUUGCACGACAAAGGAAGCAAGCACAUCCAGCGCCACCAGUCGCUAGUCAGAAGCAACUAUUAUUAGGAAAGAAGAGGUGCAUCAGAAUUACUCAUUUUGGUGCAAAUAAAUUAGAUAAACACCAGAUGGCAAACCAAAUCAAUUAGAUAGUUAUAGUCUAGCUUGUGCACACAAUAUCGUGUUCUUUGUGGUGACUGUUGUGCAUUGCUUCUGUUCAAGCAAGUAGAACUAUACAACAAAAAUAGGUAGUAAAACUUGCAGGAUUUCAGAUAAUUUUGUUUUGCAAUUGAUGACACUUAAUACUUGCAAGUCUGUCAAUUUUAGUAUCAUCUUCACUGAGGAUUCACUUGCCAAACUUAAUGAUUUUUUAUCAAGGGUGUUCUAUGGCAAGUUAACCUGCCAAUGUACGAAAACUGAAUCUUUCUGCAUGAUAGCUUGAUAAGCCCAUAUACAUGAUAUUGUCCAGACUUGUCACUAUGCUAGCUAUUUACUCUCUCUAAUUUUCUUUGGAUGCCAUUUUAGGAUGUGUGCAAUCAUCUUCAAAAUUUGAGUACGGACACAAAGAUAAUCUUUUAUCAACCCCUAAAUUAUUUAUAGGCAUGAACCACUGAUUUAGAACUUUAGUUGGAUCAAGCAAGAAUGCAGUUACUUCAUAAUAUAGUUGUUGAACAUAAGUGCAUAUGUUUCGGGCCCCUUGGGGAUGGAGGGGGAGUUGGCAUCCUGUCAAAAUAGUUCAGGCCCCCAAGAACGACAUCGGCAAGACGUAAUGGUCAGGAAUAAACAACCAAGUGACAUCAAACAGUAACCACGACACAUAACGACAUUUUUUAGAAAAGCUAAUGCUGGAUUACUUCAGCUUCAAACAAAACACACAAUGCUUAAACAGAAGGUAAAAUUAACACCAAAAAUUCAGUAAGCAGAUAUUGCAAGUCACUUGUGAAUGAGCUGCCAAACAUACAUGCGAAGGGUGGAUUUGCUGAGCAUUGAACAUAAUGGCAUGGUCUAAACUUUUAGAUCACUAAAUGCUGACUUGCAUAAUGUGGCAACCAUAGUAGAUCCAGCAUAAUAAUAUUUUCCGAGGACACUCAUAUCUUCUGUAGGCAAGUCACAUGACCUACAGAUGCAAUAUAUUGUGUGUGUGCAAGUCAUAUAACUGAAAGAGGUAAUAUAUUGUACAUAUAAGUAAAAGUUGACUGCAUGCUAAAUGUGAGGAAAAAAUAAUCAAUGAUUACACUUGAGCAUAAAAUGGAAUUUGUCUUCCCUUGCAACCUGCUUGGAUUUUCAUCGAGCGCCUUGUAUGCAUGUACAC
This 2958-nucleotide long non-coding RNA is filed under the name Triticum aestivum (bread wheat). RNAcentral describes it as "long non-coding RNA (TAES_LNC023741)". The record is from RNAcentral. Lineage: Eukaryota; Viridiplantae; Streptophyta; Magnoliopsida; Poales; Poaceae.